RNAcentral lists this ribosomal RNA (463 nucleotides) under uncultured bacterium. Its description in RNAcentral is "bacterial SSU rRNA". It matches the Rfam family "Bacterial small subunit ribosomal RNA", at positions 329 to 793 of the family's 1533-position model. The record is from RNAcentral.
UACCAGACUCCUACGGGAGGCAGCAGUGGGGAAUAUUGCACAAUGGGGGGAACCCUGAUGCAGCGACGCCGCGUGGGUGAAGGAGCACCUCGGUGCGUAAAGCCCUAUCGGCAGGGAAGAAAAGCGAACAGGUUCGCCUGGACGGUACCUGACUAAGAAGCCCCGGCUAACUACGUGCCAGCAGCCGCGGUAAUACGUAGGGGGCAAGCGUUAUCCGGAUUCACUGGGGGUAAAGGGAGCGUAGACGGCAGUGCAAGGCUGGAGUGAAAGGCGGGGGCUCAACCCCCGGACUGCUCUGGAAACUGUACGGCUGGAGUGCAGGAGAGGUAAGUGGAAUUCCUAGCGUAGCGGUGAAAUGCGUAGAGAUUAGGAGGAACACCAGUGGCGAAGGCGGCUUACUGGACUGUAACUGACGUUGAGGCUCGAAAGCGUGGGGAGCAAACAGGAUUAGAUACCCGCGUAC